GUCAGGAUGGCCGAGCGGUCUAAGGCGCCAGACUCAAGGUUACCUUGCCUACAUAGUAGGUACGAGCUGUUCUGGUCCUCUCUGAGGGCGUGGGUUCGAAUCCCACUUCUGACA
This 114-nucleotide transfer RNA is filed under the name Melitaea cinxia (Glanville fritillary). Its description in RNAcentral is "misc RNA ENSMCXG00005023249.1". It matches the Rfam family "tRNA". From Rfam's summary of the family: Transfer RNA (tRNA) molecules are approximately 80 nucleotides in length. Their secondary structure includes four short double-helical elements and three loops (D, anti-codon, and T loops). Further hydrogen bonds mediate the characteristic L-shaped molecular structure. tRNAs have two regions of fundamental functional importance: the anti-codon, which is responsible for specific mRNA codon recognition, and the 3' end, to which the tRNAs corresponding amino acid is attached (by aminoacyl-tRNA synthetases). tRNAs cope with the degeneracy of the genetic code in two manners: having more than one tRNA (with a specific anti-codon) for a particular amino acid; and 'wobble' base-pairing, i.e. permitting non-standard base-pairing at the 3rd anti-codon position. The record is from RNAcentral. Lineage: Eukaryota; Metazoa; Arthropoda; Insecta; Lepidoptera; Nymphalidae.